UUUCCGUAGGUGAACCUGCGGAAGGAUCAUUAUUGUAUAACCGAGGUGCGAGGGCUGUCGCUGACCCGAAAGGUCGUGCACGCCCGAGUGCCCGCACACACAUCCAUCUCACCCCUAUGUGCACCACCGCGUGGGUCCCCCUUUGGCUUGUUCGGAGGGGGGCUUACGUUUUCACACAAACUUUGUAUGCAGUGUAGAAUGUAUUUUUUGUUUUUGCGAUCACGCAAUCAAUACAACUCUCAACAACGGAUCUCUUGGCUCUC
RNAcentral lists this unclassified non-coding RNA (263 nucleotides) under plant metagenome. Its description in RNAcentral is "partial contains small subunit ribosomal RNA, internal transcribed spacer 1, and 5.8S ribosomal RNA". The record is from RNAcentral.